RNAcentral lists this ribosomal RNA (657 nucleotides) under Salmonella enterica. Its description in RNAcentral is "partial 23S ribosomal RNA". It matches the Rfam family "Bacterial large subunit ribosomal RNA", at positions 711 to 1280 of the family's 2925-position model. Lineage: Bacteria; Pseudomonadati; Pseudomonadota; Gammaproteobacteria; Enterobacterales; Enterobacteriaceae. The record is from RNAcentral. RNAcentral also lists the same sequence under 1 other name.
AGACCCGAAACCCGGUGAUCUAGCCAUGGGCAGGUUGAAGGUUGGGUAACACUAACUGGAGGACCGAACCGACUAAUGUUGAAAAAUUAGCGGAUGACCUGUGGCUGGGGGUGAAAGGCCAAUCAAACCGGGAGAUAGCUGGUUCUCCCCGAAAGCUAUUUAGGUAGCGCCUCGUGAAUUCAUCUCCGGGGGUAGAGCACUGUUUCGGCUAGGGGGCCAUCCCGGCUUACCAACCCGAUGCAAACUGCGAAUACCGGAGAAUGUUAUCACGGGAGACACACGGCGGGUGCUAACGUCCGUCGUGAAGAGGGAAACAACCCAGACCGCCAGCUAAGGUCCCAAAGUCAUGGUUAAGUGGGAAACGAUGUGGGAAGGCCCAGACAGCCAGGAUGUUGGCUUAGAAGCAGCCAUCAUUUAAAGAAAGCGUAAUAGCUCACUGGUCGAGUCGGCCUGCGCGGAAGAUGUAACGGGGCUAAACCAUGCACCGAAGCUGCGGCAGCGAACGUAUCACCCAAGACAACUUUACGGAGUUGACGAUUGACGGAGCGAAGCGACGUCAAAGCGUUCAUUAAAGUCGAGUUGGCUUAGGGAUACGUUCGUUGGGUAGGGGAGCGUUCUGUAAGCCUGUGAAGGUGUGUCGUGAGGCAUGCUGGAGGU